GAAUUUUGGACAAUGGGGGCAACCCUGAUCCAGCCAUCCCGCGUGUGCGAUGAAGGCCUUCGGGUUGUAAAGCACUUUUGGCAGGGAAGAAAAGGCUCUGGCUAAUACCUGGCGCUGCUGACGGUACCUGCCGAAUAAGCACCGGCUACCUACGCUCCAGCAGCCGCGGUAAUACGUUGGGUGCCAGCGUUAAUGGGAAUUACUGGGCGUAAAGCGUGGGCAGGCGGUUCGGAAAGAAGGAUGUGUAAUCCCAGGGCUUAACCUUGGAACUGCAUUCUUAACUGCCGGGCUAGAGUAUGUCAGAGGGGGGUAGAAUUCCGCGUGUAGCAGUGAAAUGCGUAGAGAUGCGGAGGAAUACCGAUGGCGAAGGCAGCCCCCUGGGAUAAUACUGACGCUCAUGCACGAAAGCGUGGGGAGCAAAC
Molecule: ribosomal RNA, 422 nt
Filed under: uncultured bacterium
Lineage: Bacteria
Description: partial 16S ribosomal RNA
Rfam family: Bacterial small subunit ribosomal RNA
Source: RNAcentral